Molecule: ribosomal RNA, 253 nt
Filed under: uncultured bacterium
Lineage: Bacteria
Description: partial 16S ribosomal RNA
Rfam family: Bacterial small subunit ribosomal RNA
Source: RNAcentral
UACGUAGGGUGCAAGCGUUGUCCGGAAUUAUUGGGCGUAAAGAGCUCGUAGGCGGUUUGUCGCGUCUGCUGUGAAAACCCGAGGCUCAACCUCGGGCCUGCAGUGGGUACGGGCAGACUAGAGUGCGGUAGGGGAGAUUGGAAUUCCUGGUGUAGCGGUGGAAUGCGCAGAUAUCAGGAGGAACACCGAUGGCGAAGGCAGAUCUCUGGGCCGUAACUGACGCUGAGGUGCGAAAGCGUGGGGAGCGAACAGG